AGCAACAGUAAUAGUUUAACAUUCUUUAAAAUGGGACUAAACCGUGUUUUAAGUUGCUUUGCUUUAACAAUGUUCAUUCAAUAUUCCUGCAGUCAGGAACUUAUCCAGUCUGAUUCAGUGAUCAUCAAACCUGGUCAGUCUCAUACACUGACCUGCACAGCUUCUGGACUUACCUUUGAUAAGUACAUGUCUUGGAUCCGACAGGCUCCUGGAAAAGGACUGGAAUGGGUUGCAACUAUAUCAGAUCUCAGUUAUAGCAAAUAUUACUCCAGUGCAGUUAACGGUCGUUUCACCAUCUCCAGAGACAAUGCUAAGAUGCAGGUGUAUCUGACUAUGGGCAGCUUGAAGAUGGAAGACACUGCAGUGUAUUAUUGUGCUAGACAUGACACACACAAUGACACAUGA
This is a non-coding RNA of Clarias gariepinus (North African catfish), 405 nucleotides long. Lineage: Eukaryota; Metazoa; Chordata; Actinopteri; Siluriformes; Clariidae. The record is from the annotation of a RefSeq genome assembly.